AGAGUUUGAUCCUGGCUCAGGACGAACGCUGGCGGCGCGCCUAACACAUGCAAGUCGAACGAGCGAGAGGAGGUUUACUUUCUCAAGCGAGUGGCGAACGGGUGAGUAACGCGUGAGGAACCUGCCUCAAAGAGGGGGACAACAGUUGGAAACGACUGCUAAUACCGCAUAAGCCCACGACCCGGCAUCGGGUAGAGGGAAAAGGAGCAAUCCGCUUUGAGAUGGCCUCGCGUCCGAUUAGCUAGUUGGUGAGGUAAUGGCCCACCAAGGCGACGAUCGGUAGCCGGACUGAGAGGUUGAACGGCCACAUUGGGACUGAGACACGGCCCAGACUCCUACGGGAGGCAGCAGUGGGGAAUAUUGCACAAUGGGGGAAACCCUGAUGCAGCGACGCCGCGUGGAGGAAGAAGGUCUUCGGAUUGUAAACUCCUGUUGUUGAGGAAGAUAAUGACGGUACUCAACAAGGAAGUGACGGCUAACUACGUGCCAGCAGCCGCGGUAAAACGUAGGUCACAAGCGUUGUCCGGAAUUACUGGGUGUAAAGGGAGCGCAGGCGGGAAGACAAGUUGGAAGUGAAAUCCAUGGGCUCAACCCAUGAACUGCUUUCAAAACUGUUUUUCUUGAGUAGUGCAGAGGUAGGCGGAAUUCCCGGUGUAGCGGUGGAAUGCGUAGAUAUCGGGAGGAACACCAGUGGCGAAGGCGGCCUACUGGGCACCAACUGACGCUGAGGCUCGAAAGUGUGGGUAGCAAACAGGAUUAGAUACCCUGGUAGUCCACACUGUAAACGAUGAUUUACUAGGUGUUGGGGGAUUUGACCCCCUUCAGUGCCGCAGGUAAACACAAUAAAGUAAUCCACCCUGGGGAGUACGCCCGCAGGGUUGAAACUUCAAAGGAAUUGACGGGGGGCCCGCACCAAGCAGUGGGAGUAAUGUGGUUUUAAUUUCGACGCAAACGCGGAAGAACCUUUACCAAGUCUGGCCAUCCUGCGACGCACAUAGAAAUAUGUGUUUCCUUCGGGACGCAGAGACAGGUGGUGCAUGGUUGUCGUCAGCUCGUGUCGUGAGAUGUUGGGUUAAGUCCCGCAACGAGCGCAACCCUUAUGGUCAGUUACUACGCAAGAGGACUCUGGCCAGACUGCCGUUGACAAAACGGAGGAAGGUGGGGAUGACGUCAAAUCAUCAUGCCCUUUAUGACUUGGGCUACACACGUACUACAAUGGCGUUAAACAAAGAGAAGCAAGACCGCGAGGUGGAGCAAAACUCAGAAACAACGUCCCAGUUCGGACUGCAGGCUGCAACUCGCCUGCACGAAGUCGGAAUUGCUAGUAAUCGCAGAUCAGCAUGCUACGGUGAAUACGUUCCCGGGCCUUGUACUCACCGCCCGUCA
RNAcentral lists this ribosomal RNA (1386 nucleotides) under uncultured bacterium. RNAcentral describes it as "bacterial SSU rRNA". It matches the Rfam family "Bacterial small subunit ribosomal RNA". The record is from RNAcentral.